UUUUACAUUGCUACAUUUUGGUGAAAAGCAGGAGUAACCAUUGUAUCAUUGUUUAUGUUAUUAUCUAUUCUGCUAACUUGUGUUCUCACUUGAUGACUGUGUGUCUUCUUCUUGUCUGUAUGUCUAUAUGUCUGGAGAUAAAUAAGGGCCUAUAAUCCCAGUGCUUAAGGUGCUGAGGCAGGAGGAUCACUUGAGCCCAGGAGUUCAAGACCAGCCUGGGCAACAUAGCAAUAACGCAUCUUUAAUUUAAAAAAAAAAAAAAAAAAAAAAAAAAAAAAAGAUAAAUACCUGACUCUGUCUCUGGUGAUUUUUCAGUUAGCUUUGUUAUUGUUAAUUUGUUUUUCAUCAAUGUGAAAAUCACUAAAGAAAUUUAGGUAUCAAGAAGUUGAUUAGUCUUUAUCAGUUUAAACUGCUAACAAUGCAUUAAAUUUUCUACUGUUUCAUUAAUUUAUACAUCCUAUGCUUAUUCUCUGCCUCUACUUCAAUAUUAUUACUGCACAUUGACAUAAAAUUAUUGACACUGAGAUUAUAAAUAUAUUUAUUCUUGUUAUUGAAAUGUAUUCGAAUACUUUGCAACUUUCCUUAUAUUAUCAAACCCCUUGGGUGGUUUGACAUAACUGAUGUCCCGACCUCAGAAUAACUAUAAACUACACGCAUAGUUUGUAAAAGUACACAAAUACAGUUUUAUAACAUUCUCUUAUAUAUAACAUCACCUGCCUGCUUAUAACAUUACCUGAUUAGCUUCUAAGCUACCCUGAAGAAUAAGGUUAAAAUAGUUCUUGUUACCUGGUUCAUUCUUCUGCCUUAAUUUAGGCUGUCGUUUUUUUAUUUGACUUUAGGAAGACUUUCCUGAUGGGCUUUCCUGGAUCUGGCUUUAUCCUGCCUCCGCUAAGCUACCACAUACUCUUUUUAAUAAAUGAAGCAUGAUUAUGACACUGUCCUGCAUAAAGGCCUACAGUGUCCUUUCUUUGCCAAGAAGCUAAAGUCUGAACUCUUUAAGGAUGGCCCUUCAUCAUAUGGCCCUUUGCUAUUUCUAGAAUUUUAUCUCCAUCAUUGGCCAUAUACUUUUACUUGUAGCUCAUGAUAAACUCUUGACAUUAAAAGCUUCCUUGCUUUUAUUCAUUCUGAACCCACUGCUCUCUUUCUCCUCUUUUCUGCCUGACCACUUCCUGUAUAUCCUUCAAGACUUGGCCCAAGUUGCUAUUCUCUGUGAAAUGUUCCCUGGCUGUCUCACAGACAGAGUCAGAUUAUCCCAGAGCAGCUACACUAUACCACUGUGAAAGGGUUUAUCACAGUGUAUUGUAAUCACUUGCUUACUUGACAGUUUUCAUACCAGACUAUGAGCUUAUUCCAAGUGGAAAUUUUUAUCUUUUUUUAAAGCAUAAGCCCAGCAUACUAAGUAGUCAAAUGUUUGUUGAGUGUGUUAAUUAUUAAAUGAUUAUAUCUUAAGGAUUGAUCAAGACCUCUUGUUCCAACUUUUCCUACGAUCUUAAGAAAUUCAUGUAAUCCUUUAGAGCUUUAGCUUGCUCAUCCAUAAGAUAGACUUGCCGAUAAAAUUAAUCAUUGAAACACUUAGUAGAUAUUGAAUGCUAUACAAAUUCUAAGAUGGCUUUCUUAAGAAAAACUGAUCCAUAACCUAGUUUUAGUCAGGUUUUCUUAUAUUUAUCUAUUUUAUGCCCUUGUCUAAUCUGGUAACUGCGUUCUUGGUUAUAUUUCCUAUUUUUAUUAGGAUUUUAAUCAAAAUUCUUUGCAAUGCAUGUCACCGAUUUCUAAGUUAUUUAUUAACCUAUGCAGGUUUACAGGGCUAUUCGAAAAAUAACUUCUGUUUGUAUAUGUAUUUGUUUACUUAUCUGAACAACUUACAUAGUUUACUCUUAAACAAAUUACAGACUGUGCUUUCUUGGUACUCUGCAACAUUUAAUUGUCAUGCAUGCUUUGUCCACAAUUCAAAUUUGUUUCUUUGGAAACAAAAUUUUACAAAGGUUUUGUGCUUUGACCAGGUAUAGAAGCUUUUGCUAAUUGGUGGGAACAGUGUAAUAGUGAUGUAGUUGUUACCUCAGGAGGAAGAUGUAUGUAAUGUGUACACAGUGUGUACACUGAGUAAUUCAGCAUUUUUCUCUGCUUAGACAAAGGUCUAUGUUAAGUUUUUCUCACACCACAUUAACACAUAGCCAGAGGGUCACGUACUGAUCUAUACUGUACUUGUACUCAAUUUGUAUAUUCGUAAGUGCUCUAUAGUCUGCUUUCAGGCAGUUUUCAAGUAAAUGUUUGUUGCUGCUACUUUCAGGUAUCUAUUUUCCAAUUUAGUUUUGUUUUCAUCAUUCCUUUAUAUUUCCUCCUUAUCCUUGAAUAUGGUUGAUCCCAGUCUUCUAGAGGAUAUAUCAGAACAUAGAGAAGGGAGAAUUAUGACAAAAGAAUGUUGAUUUUUAGGAUUGAUUAAACUCUUUGCCAGGCUACAAAUGCUUUAUAGGUUGUCAAUUUUAAGACAUUAGAUUUCAACCCCAUUAUGACCCAUAUCUCUGAUUACCAGAAAGAUAAUUUGUCCUUAGCCAUUAAUGGAAUUUAUUUUAGCCAGUAUUAAUAGGCCAAUGUGGAACAAAUUACAUAAUUUUUCCCUUAGUUUUUUAGAUGACCAAGAAUAGUAUAAGUUAUAAGUAACUUCUUUUGUAGCUUAAUUUAAUGGCUGUAAAAUAUCCAGAGUCUAAGAUAAACAUGGAUGAAAAAAGUAGUACUAUUGAGGAGGCAAAUAUUUCUCUUCACCCUUCUAAAAUUGGGCACCUAUGUUUAAAAAUAAUGCAUUUUUUAGCUUUUGUCUUGAAUUUUUGGCUGAGUAGAUCCUUGUCUGACCUUUCCCAAGGUACCUUCUUUGUAUUCCCUUCCUUAUCGAAACCAUUUUAUAAAAGAAAUUCAACCUAGUUGGUUGAGAGGAGGGAGGCAGUAGUUACUCAGGUAAGGUAGAGAAUAGCUUGGGUACAGAUGACAGAUUGUUAUCUUCAAACCCUUUUCCCAUUUUUCUUAAAUCUUUAGUUUCUUCCUCUUUGGAAGCCAAAGUAAAGGGUCCCCUAUUAAAUCAUAGAAUUGUAGAAACCUAAAAGGUGAUCUGGGUUCAUCUCCAUGUUUCUGCACAUGAGCCAUACUCAUUCCAGUUGGAGCAGGCAUUUUUAUUUUUAGAAUUUGAAAAAGAAAAAUCAAUAUACUGCCCUAGAAGCUCAUGGAAUGUUUGUCAGCUUUUGGUAUUGAGAAAUUUUUCUGUCAUAAGUAAAUUUACCUGUGUAAUGAAUAUCGUAUCUUCCUGAGUCUCAUCAAUUUGAGGUUACUCAAAAAACCUUUUACAUUUCGGCCCUUAAAGAAAAUAUUCAUUUAUUUCUAACACUUAUUAUUUUCCCUGCUUGAAUGAUUAAAUUCUAGUCCAGUUUUAUCUUUUAGGAUAUUCUAGGGUUAACGAGUCAUUAUUCUGAAAAUUUAUUCUCACUGUACAGUAAUGUUGAUGCAAAUUAUGAUGAUUAUGUCAUGUAUCUGCUAGCCUUGGGAAAUCUCCCAGAAAUUGUUUCAAAACCCUUAAAUAAUCUAUUUUUAAAAGUGUUUUUCUCUUUAUUAUAAAAAUAAAAUAUGAGAGGUAGUAGUUAGCAAAGAGUUUAUGUUUUGUUUUUAUUUAACUAGGGUUCUCCUAUAAUAAGUUAUUCUUCAUGCUUUAAUUGGAGCAUAAUUCCUGUUCCCCUCCCACCCCCACAAAGAGAUUAAGUAUAGCUGAUUGGUUCCUGCAUGAACUAUUUAGCUAUGUUUUGGUCACAGACUGAGCUGCAAAUACUAGCCAUAUAUUGCACAAAUGUUUGAUACCAUUUGAUCACAAAGGGGAUCAAGCAAGAGACUAUGUGCAGACUGGUAUAAAUUCCUUACACUUUAAACAGAAAGUGUAUUUUCUCUAAAAGGUAGCUCAUUUAUUCAUUUGUAAAAUGAGGAUAAUGAGGUACCUUUUCUCUAAAAAGUAAAGUGAGGAUGAAAAGGGUACCCACUUUAGAGGGUUAGUGUGUGGAAUAAGUGAAAUAGUGAGUGCAAGGAACUUUUUCUUCAGACACACUCUUCUGAAACUUCUUAGAAUUAAUCUACUUCUCACUGAUUUUAGGGCUCCUGAACGGAUGUAAAAUACAGGUUACUUUUUCCUUCUACCCGUGGUUCUCCCUCCUGGAUACUCUUUUGGCAUGACUUCUGGAGCUCUAAAAAGAAAGAUUUUCAGGUUGCAACCCUGAAGCUUGUCCCACCUAUGAAGCUUCUGAUUCAAUUAUUAUGGUGGAAACUUGGAAUCAGUAUAUAUUAAAUUCUGUCAGUGAUUCUGAUGGGUAGCCAGGGUUGAGAUAAUGGUUCAUACUAUGUUUAUGUUCAUAAUAGUUACAUUUAUUAAAUGAUUUUGUGCCAUUAAGCUAUUCAGUAAAUAAGUGCCCAGUACACAGUAGUGAACUAGGUAAGUACUAUAUCUGCUUUUAUAGAGCUUACAUGCUAUUGGAGGGUAGGUAGGGAAACAAGUUUCAAAAAUAUGUGUCAAUUGCUAUGCUAAGCACUUUACAUGUAUAUCUCAUUUAAUCCUACCAACAGUCCUGUAAAAUAGAUGGGAACUGUUUUCCCUAUUUUACAAAUGAGGAAACUGAGAUUUGGAAAGGUUAAGUAACUUGUCUGAAACCGCACAGCUAGGAAAUGUUGGAACCUCGUUUAAACCCAAGUUUUUCGACUCUAAAACUAAUCCUAACUACUUUUUUCUCCUUUUCUUACAACUUUUACUUAUUGCAUUGCCUGGCUGUUGCUUAAUACAUUUGCUGGACAUCUAGCAUUUAUUUCAUACUUGUUUAAGCUGAUCCUUCUCACAGAUUGUACCAACUAGUCUUCAGUUUUCUUUAUUCAUGUUUUUUCCUGGUUUUGUUUAUGAUGUAUAAAUAUGGUAUAUUGGAAAGAACAAUGGCUCUGAGUUUUAAAUCCCAGAGUUGACCUUUGUAACUGUAAAGCCUUAAUCAAAUUAUUUAACAUUUCUUAGCCUAAGUUUUCUCACGUAUUAAAAUGAAAGUAGUAUUAUCUUGCAAGUUGUUUUUGGAAUUUAAUGAAAUAAACUAUAUCAUAAAAGACUAGUACUAUGCAGACCAAAUAGUUAAGGUCAGUAAUGAUCAUUUUCUUUUUUUCCUUUUUGUCUACCAAGUUGCUAGCUAAAUCCUUAAGUAGAUGAUCUUGUUUUCCCUUUCAUUAUAUAGUUCUGGAUUUUUUUUGUUUGUUUUUAAGUAAACAUAUUUUAAAGUUUGGUACAUCUUUGAACCAAAUUGAAACUGUUUUCUAAGUGAUUGUGAUAAUGCAAUCAAAUUUAAAACAUGAAUUGUUAUCAUGUGAUUUUUAACCUUUAAUUAGCCUUAAUAUUGUGCUAAGAAUGAGAGGAAAGAGACAAAGAGAAUUAUGUGACCUAAUCUCAACUGUUUAAGAAAUGUCAUCUAAACUAUCUUUUCCCUACUUACCAAAGGGAACACCACAUAGAGCA
Molecule: long non-coding RNA, 5512 nt
Organism: Sapajus apella (tufted capuchin)
Lineage: Eukaryota; Metazoa; Chordata; Mammalia; Primates; Cebidae
Exons: 2
Source: RefSeq, a predicted model, not a curated record